GAUGAACGCUGGCGGCGUGCCUAAUACAUGCAAGUCGAGCGAACGGACGAGAAGCUUGCUUCUCUGAUGUUAGCGGCGGACGGGUGAGUAACACGUGGAUCACCUACCUAUAAGACUGGGAUAACUUCGGGAAACCGGAGCUAAUACCGGAUAAUAUUUUGAACCGCAUGGUUCAAAAGUGAAAGACGGUCUUGCUGUCACUUAUAGAUGGAUCCGCGCUGCAUUAGCUAGUUGGUAAGGUAACGGCUUACCAAGGCAACGAUGCAUAGCCGACCUGAGAGGGUGAUAGGCCACACUGGAACGGAGACACGGUCCAGACUCCUACGGGACGCAGCAGUAGGGAAUCUUCCGCAAUGGGCGAAAGCCUGACGGAGCAACGCCGCGUGAGUGAUGAAGGUCUUCGGAUCGUAAAACUCUGUUAUUAGGGAAGAACAUAUGUGUAAGUAACUGUGCACAUCUUGACGGUACCUAAUCAGAAAGCCACGGCUAACUACGUG
This 497-nucleotide ribosomal RNA is filed under the name uncultured bacterium. RNAcentral's name for it is "partial 16S ribosomal RNA". It matches the Rfam family "Bacterial small subunit ribosomal RNA", at positions 28 to 507 of the family's 1533-position model. The record is from RNAcentral.